Molecule: ribosomal RNA, 440 nt
Filed under: uncultured bacterium
Lineage: Bacteria
Description: partial 16S ribosomal RNA
Rfam family: Bacterial small subunit ribosomal RNA
Source: RNAcentral
CCUACGGGGAGCAGCAGUGGGGGAUAUUGCACAAUGGGGGGAACCCUGAUGCAGCGACGCCGCGUGGGUGAAGAAGCGCCUCGGCGCGUAAAGCCCUGUCAGCAGGGAAGAAAAUGACGGUACCUGAAGAAGAAGCCCCGGCUAACUACGUGCCAGCAGCCGCGGUAAUACGAAGGGGGCAAGCGUUAUCCGGAUUUACUGGGUGGAAAGGGGGCGCAGACGGCGAUGCAAGCCAGGAGUGAAAGCCCGGGGCCCAACCCCGGGACUGCUCUUGGAACUGCGUGGCUGGAGUGCAGGAGGGGCAGGCGGAAUUCCUGGUGUAGCGGUGAAAUGCGUAGAUAUCAGGAGGAACACCGGUGGCGAAGGCGGCCUGCUGGACUGCAACUGACGUUGAGGCCCGAAAGCGUGGGGAGCAAACAGGAUUAGAUACCCGAGUAGUC